GCCCUGAGAGGGUGACAGGCCACACUGGCACUGAGACACGGCCCAGCGUCCUACGGUAGGCAGCAGUGGGGAAUAUUGCACUAUGGGCGAAAGCCUGAUGCAGCGACGCCGCGUGAGGGAUGACGGCCUUCGGGUUGUAAACCUCUUUCAGUAGGGAAGAAGCGAAAGUGACGGUACCUGCAGAAGAAGCGCCGGCUAACUACGUGCCAGCAGCCGCGGUAAUACGUAGGGCGCAAGCGUUAUCCGUAAUUAUUGGGCGUAAAGAGCUCGUAGGCGGUUUGUCGCGUCUUCUGUGAAAGGCCAGGGCUCAACCCUGGUUCUGCAGUGGGUACGGGCAGACUUGAGUGAUGUAGG
This 354-nucleotide ribosomal RNA is filed under the name bacterium LimB-10-A-330. RNAcentral's name for it is "bacterial SSU rRNA". It matches the Rfam family "Bacterial small subunit ribosomal RNA", at positions 289 to 655 of the family's 1533-position model. The record is from RNAcentral.